AAGGUGUUGAAGAUUCAGAAGGCAAAGGAAAAACUAGCUUCAAAGAGCUGAGGGGUAGGGACGCUGAAGUCUCUGUCAAGUCUAUUGUGUUUUCAGAUAACUUAGCUUUGAUGACGAUGAAUAUAUGUGAAAGAACCUGUCGAAAUGCAACUGCGAUUAGAAUUUAAGCUCUAGUAUGGUUUUGUAAACUCCUUUUGGAACUAUUGCCACCUGAUUGGAGGAGGUUUUUCCUCUUUCCAUUUCAAUGAUAUUUUAACGCAUGAUAACUAAGUUUACCUGUGCAUGGCGUUUGCUUAGUGCAUCGGGAUGCCCUUUUUUUAUAACUCAAGUUUUCGGCUGUGAUUAUUACUCAAUCCCUAAGGUACACUUUUUCAGAUGAUAUACAGGAAUGAUAGUCAUUAGGAAAUUACUUAUCUUGAAAUGCUAGGGAGCCAGGGUGUAUGUGAUGUUGCGGAAGAUAAAAUGUAGUAGAUUAUUUUGUUACGAUUUACCUUGAAUCACUUGAUAGUAAGUUUAUGUUGGAGAAUGUAUCAAUUCACCAGGGUACCCGAAAAGAGAAAUUGGUAAAAUAUGAAGCAAAUGCUUGACUUUUUUCUUAAGUCGCGUUACACCUACACCUAAUAAAUCCACUUCCAAUUUUAUUUUCAUUAUUGUUUUUAUUUAUCCAAAUUGUAUGCGACCUUUCGCAGGAUACAAAAUCAUACUCGCGCCGUUCCAAAUUAUUCAUUCCAAUUUUUUAAUUUAAUUUUUUAUUUUACUUAUUUUUUUUCAUUAAUUAAGAAGAAAUAAUUUUUUUUUUCGUGUUUUACCUUUACAUUAAUUAUUUUUUCUGUAAAUUAAAAUAUAAAUAUUAUUUAAUAAGAAUACUAUAAUAAAUUUGUCAUAUUAUUAAUUAUUUUUCUUAAUUAAUGUGUCAUCUCAAUUUGAAAUUAAUUAUGUUAUUUAAUUAAUGUGUCAUCUCUAAUUUGAGAUGAAAAAAGUAUUAAUUAAGUAAAACAAACUUUUUGGUUCUUCAAUAAUGCAGGGACAAAUUCAUAGGGGGGGCCUAUCUGUAAAAUUAGAUAUUUUAUGGAUAUAUAAUUUUGUAAAGGGAAAGCAUGCGGUAGGUGGAUUCCCGUUUAUCGCUGAGUCUCAUCGUUUUUAAUUCUAUCUUCCAGUACUAGUACUGCACAAAUAAUGGAGGAAUACAAAUCACUGAAAAUCAUUCAAAAAUCCCCAAAUUCUGGGGUCUGUUUCUUGUAUCUGAACCGACCUAGCCAUCUCAACGCUCUGUCAGGUGACUUCUUCACUGAAUUCCCCAAAGCCAUCUCCUCACUGGAUCAAAACCCUGAUGUUGCCGUUAUCAUCCUCGCUGGCUCCGGCAAGCACUUCUGUUCCGGGAUCGACUUCCAAACCCUAAACAACGCCUUAAAAGGAUCUUACGCUGCUGAUUGCGGCCGCAACGUCGAGAGGCUCCGGCAACAUAUCAAGUUCCUGCAGGAGGCUAUUAGUGCCCUGGAGUGUUGUCGUAAACCGGUGAUUGCCGCUGUCCAUGGCGCAUGUAUUGGUGGUGCGAUUGAUAUAAUUACUGCCUGUGAUAUUAGGUUUUGUUCUUCUGAUGCCUUUUUCUCGGUGAAAGAGGUGGAUCUAGCUAUUACGGCUGAUCUUGGGACACUUCAGAGGCUUCCCAGUAUUGUUGGGUUUGGCAAUGCCAUGGAGUUGGCUUUAACUGGUCGGAGGUUUACAGGUUCCGAAGCUAAAGACUUGGGGUUGGUCUCUCAGGUUUUUACUUGUAAACAAGCUUUGGAGGAAGGCGUCAAACUUGUUGCUGAGGAAAUAGCUACAAAGUCUCCGCUUGCUGUUAUUGGAACAAAAGCGGUGUUGCUGAAAAGUAGGGAUUUGACAGUGGAACAAGGCCUGGAUUAUGUUGCCACAUGGAAUUCUGGUGUCCUGUUAUCAGAUGAUUUGAAAGAAGCAAUUUCAGCACAUAGUCAGAAGAGAAAACCUAAAUUUGCCAAACUCUAGUUUGGUAAUUGAUGGAAUUUGAAAGGGUUAAUAAAUCUGCGUGUGAGCAAAUGUGACUGUUGGUCGAGUGACAAGAUUGAGAUUCUUAUGUGUUUAAUCAUAGUUUAAUUCUCAAAUACUGUUGGUCUUUGUCAACUCUAUUAUGUUUUCAGAUAACUUAGCUUUGGUGAUGAUGAAUGUGUGAAAGAACCUGUCGAAAUGCUACUGCGAUUAGAAUUUAAUUAGCUCUAGUAUGGUCUUGUAAACUCCUUUUUGUGGAACUAUUGCCACCUGAUUGGAGGAGGCAAUGAUAUUUGAACGCAAGAUAACUCAAGUUUUCGGCUGUGAUUAUUACUCAAUCCGUAAGGUACACUUUUUCAGAUGAUAUACAGGAAUGAUAGUCAUUAGGAAAUUACUAUUACCUUGAAAUGCUAGGGAGCCAGGGUAUGUGAUGUUGCGCAAGAUAAAAUGUAGAUUAUUUUGUUACGAUUACCUUGAAUCACUUGAUAGUAAGUUUUUCUUGGAGAAGGUAUCAAUUCACCAGGGUAUCACAAUGAAAUAUUGGUAAAAAUUGAAAGCAAAUGCUCGACUUUUUUCUCAAGUAGCGUUACACCUACA
This 2601-nucleotide long non-coding RNA is filed under the name Capsicum annuum. RNAcentral describes it as "long non-coding RNA (CANN_LNC003818)". The record is from RNAcentral. Lineage: Eukaryota; Viridiplantae; Streptophyta; Magnoliopsida; Solanales; Solanaceae.